Molecule: ribosomal RNA, 253 nt
Filed under: uncultured bacterium
Lineage: Bacteria
Description: partial 16S ribosomal RNA
Rfam family: Bacterial small subunit ribosomal RNA
Source: RNAcentral
GACAGAGGAUGCAAGCGUUAUCCGGAAUUAUUGGGCGUAAAGGAUGCGUAGAUGGUGUAGUAAGUUAUCGGUGGCAAAUCGAGGCUCAACCUCGUGGAAGUCGGUAAUACUGCUAUGCUAGAGGAUAGGAGAGGUUAACGGAACUCCCUGUGGAGCGGUGAAAUGCGUAGAUAUAGGGAAGAACACCGGUGGCGAAGGCGGCUCUCUGGACCGACACUGAUGCUGAGGCGCGAAAGCGUGGGGAGCAAACAGG